GUUUGAUCCCGGCGGAGGCCACUGCCUAUUGGGAUUCCNUUAAGCCAUGCAAGUCCGAAUGAACCUAGUUCAUGGCAUACGGCUCAGUAACACGUGGAUAACUUUACCCUCAGGAACGGGAUAACUUUCGGAAACUGAAGAUAAUACUGGAUAUUAGGCUUAUGCCUGAAAUGGUUUACCUUUGAAAUGUAUUUUUUCGCCUAAGGAUAGAUCUGCGGCGGAUUAGGUCGUUGGUGGGGUCAAUGCCCCACCCAAGCCGAUGAUUCGGUACGGGUUGUGAGAGCAAGAGCCCGGAGAUGGAACCUGAGACAAGGUUCCAGACCCUAUCGCGGUGCAGCAGGUGCGAAACCUCCGCAAUGUACGCAAGUGCGACGGGGGGAUCCCAAGUGUUAUUCUUAACAGAAUAACUUUUCAUUAGUGUAAAAAGCUUUUAGAAUAAGAGCUGGGCAAGACCGGUGCCAGCCGCCGCGGUAACACCGGCAGCUCAAGUCGUAGCUGUUUUUAUUGGGCCUAAAGCGUUCGUAGCCGGUCUGAUAAGUCUUUGGUGAAAGCUUGUAGCUUAACUAUUAGAAUUGCUGAAGAUACUGUCAGACUUGAAGUCGGGAGAGGUUAGAGGUACUACCGGGGUAGGGGUGAAAUCCUAUAAUCCUGGGAGGACCACCUGUGGCGAAGGCGUCUAACUGGAACGAUCUUGACGGUGAGUAUCGAAAGCCAGGGGCGCGAACCGGAUUAGAUACCCGGGUAGUCCUGGCCGUAAAACGAUGUGGACUUGGUGUUGGAAUGGCCUCGAGUUGUUCCCGGUGCCGAAGGGAAGCUGUUAAAGUCCACCGCCUGGGAAGUACGGUCGCAAGACUGAAACUUAAAGGAAUUGGCGGGGGAGCACCACANCGCGGGGAGCCCGCGGUUUAAUUGGGAUUCAACGCCGGGAAAUCUCACCAGGAGCGACAGCAGAAUGGAUAAACCAGGGUGAAGGACCUUAUUUGACUAGCUAAAGGGACGGUGCAUGGCCCCCCUCCAGCCCGAACUGUGCCCCCUAAAGCGCCGGUUAAGUCAGGCAACGAGCGAG
Molecule: ribosomal RNA, 1066 nt
Filed under: uncultured archaeon
Lineage: Archaea
Description: bacterial SSU rRNA
Rfam family: Archaeal small subunit ribosomal RNA
Source: RNAcentral